Long non-coding RNA from Rattus rattus (black rat), 523 nucleotides. RefSeq lists it as uncharacterized. The transcript has 3 exons. The record is from RefSeq and is a predicted model, not a curated record. NCBI's taxonomy places the organism in Eukaryota, Metazoa, Chordata, Mammalia, Rodentia, Muridae.
UCGUGGAUCCCUCAAGGGAGUUCCUGGACCUUCUCAGAGCUGUCCACACCCAGACGCCUUCCUGUCAGCCCUGACCACCUGGGGAUUAACCAGAAGAGCCAGGCUGUUACCUAGCAAGCCGGCUGCCUCAACCCCAGGCAAUACGUCCACACCCAACUUUAUACUGAUGCUGGGAAUGGAACCCAGGGCUUUGUGCACGCUAGGCAAGCACUCUACCAGCUGAGCCACAUCUCCAGCUAAAGGCACCAUCGAGAAGGGACUUCUGCUCAUCAAAGUGCUGACUUUACCACCCCUUCCUGCUGUCUCUGCCUUCGCUCCACUAUGAGAUGAGCCACUUUGCACCAUUCUGAACUUGCUACCAUGAUGGUUGGCCUUACCGCAGGCAAGGAAGCAACUGGACAGAAGUCAGAUCUUGAGUGAAGGAGCUCUCAGGAGCUGGGGUAACCUCCCCACGAGAUGACUCAGGGAGGCAGGGGUGCGGGGUGGUGGUGGGGGAAUGAAGCAUAUAUAGUGGGCAGUUGAC